GAUGAACGCUGGCGGCGUGCCUAAUACAUGCAAGUCGAGCGAAUGGAUUAAGAGCUUGCUCUUAUGAAGUUAGCGGCGGACGGGUGAGUAACACGUGGGUAACCUGCCCAUAAGACUGGGAUAACUCCGGGAAACCGGGGCUAAUACCGGAUAACAUUUUGAACCGCAUGGUUCGAAAUUGAAAGGCGGCUUCGGCUGUCACUUAUGGAUGGACCCGCGUCGCAUUAGCUAGUUGGUGAGGUAACGGCUCACCAAGGCAACGAUGCGUAGCCGACCUGGGAGGGUGAUCGGCAACACUGGGACUGGGACACGGCCCAGACUCCUACGGGAGGCAGCAGUAGGGAAUCUUCCGCAAUGGACGAAAGUCUGACGGAGCAACGCCGCGUGAGUGACGAAGGCUUUCGGGUCGUAAAACUCUGUUGUUAGGGAAGAACAAGUGCUAGUUGAAUAAGCUGGCACCUUGACGGUACCUAACCAGAAAGCCACGGCUAACUACGUGCCAGCCGCCGCAGUAA
RNAcentral lists this ribosomal RNA (515 nucleotides) under uncultured bacterium. RNAcentral's name for it is "partial 16S ribosomal RNA". It matches the Rfam family "Bacterial small subunit ribosomal RNA", at positions 28 to 523 of the family's 1533-position model. The record is from RNAcentral.